GCAAGUCGAGCGAGACCUUCGGGUCUAGCGGCGGACGGGUUAGUAACGCGUGGGAACGUACCCUUUUCUAAGGAAUAGCCACUGGAAACGGUGAGUAAUGCCUUAUACGCCCUUCGGGGGAAAGAUUUAUCGGAGAAGGAUCGGCCCGCGUUAGAUUAGAUAGUUGGUGGGGUAAUGGCCUACCAAGUCUACGAUCUAUANCUGGUUUGAGAGGAUGAUCAGCAACACUGGGACUGAGACACGGCCCAGACUCCUACGGGAGGCAGCAGUGGGGAAUCUUAGACAAUGGGCGCAAGCCUGAUCUAGCCAUGCCGCGUGAGUGAUGAAGGCCUUAGGGUCGUAAAGCUCUUUCGCCUGUGAAGAUAAUGACUGUAGCAGGUAAAGAAACCCCGGCUAACUCCGUGCCAGCAGCCGCGGUAAUACGGAGGGGGUUAGCGUUGUUCGGAAUUACUGGGCGUAAAGCGCGCGUAGGCGGACAUUUAAGUCAGAGGUGAAAUCCCAGGGCUCAACCCUGGAACUGCCUUUGAUACUGGGUGUCUUGAGUUCGAGAGAGGUGAGUGGAAUUCCGAGUGUAGAGGUGAAAUUCGUAGAUAUUCGGAGGAACACCAGUGGCGAAGGCGGCUCACUGGCUCGAUACUGACGCUGAGGUGCGAAAGUGUGGGGAGCAAACAGGAUUANAUACCCUGGUAGUCCACACCGUAAACGANGAAUGC
This 713-nucleotide ribosomal RNA is filed under the name alpha proteobacterium SY143. RNAcentral describes it as "bacterial SSU rRNA". It matches the Rfam family "Bacterial small subunit ribosomal RNA", at positions 57 to 816 of the family's 1533-position model. Lineage: Bacteria; Pseudomonadati; Pseudomonadota; Alphaproteobacteria. The record is from RNAcentral.